RNAcentral lists this ribosomal RNA (274 nucleotides) under uncultured bacterium. Its description in RNAcentral is "partial 16S ribosomal RNA". It matches the Rfam family "Bacterial small subunit ribosomal RNA", at positions 523 to 796 of the family's 1533-position model. The record is from RNAcentral.
AUACAGAAGGUGCGAGCGUUAAUCGGAAUUACUGGGCGUAAAGCGCGCGUAGGCGGCUUAUUAAGUCAGAUGUGAAAUCCCCGGGCUCAACCUGGGAACUGCAUCUGAUACUGGUAAGCUAGAGUUUUGGAGAGGGAAGUAGAAUUUCAGGUGUAGCGGUGAAAUGCAUAGAGAUCUGAAGGAAUACCAGUGGCGAAGGCGACUUCCUGGCCAAAAACUGACGCUGAGGUGCGAAAGCGUGGGUAGCAAACGGGAUUAGAAACCCUUGUAGUCC